GACUCGUCACACUAUCAUUAACUGAAUCCAUAGGUUAAUGAGGCGAACCGGGGGAACUGAAACAUCUAAGUACCCCGAGGAAAAGAAAUCAACCGAGAUUCCCCCAGUAGCGGCGAGCGAACGGGGAGGAGCCCAGAGCCUGAAUCAGCAUGUGUGUUAGUGGAAGCGUCUGGAAAGGCGCGCGAUACAGGGUGACAGCCCCGUACACAAAAGCGCAUGUGCUGUGAGCUCGAUGAGUAGGGCGGGACACGUGGUAUCCUGUCUGAAUAUGGGGGGACCAUCCUCCAAGGCUAAAUACUCCUGACUGACCGAUAGUGAACCAGUACCGUGAGGGAAAGGCGAAAAGAACCCCGGCGAGGGGAGUGAAAAAGAACCUGAAACCGUGUACGUACAAGCAGUGGGAGCACCCUUUGGGGUGUGACUGCGUACCUUUUGUAUAAUGGGUCAGCGACUUAUAUUCUGUAGCAAGGUUAACCGAAUAGGGGAGCCGGAGGGAAACCGAGUCUUAAUUGGGCGUUAAGUUGCAGGGUAUAGACCCGAAACCCGGUGAUCUAGCCAUGGGCAGGUUGAAGGUUGGGUAACACUAACUGGAGGACCGAACCGACUAAUGUUGAAAAAUUAGCGGAUGACCUGUGGCUGGGGGUGAAAGGCCAAUCAAACCGGGAGAUAGCUGGUUCUCCCCGAAAGCUAUUUAGGUAGCGCCUCGUGAAUUCAUCUCCGGGGGUAGAGCACUGUUUCGGCUAGGGGGCCAUCCCGGCUUACCAACCCGAUGCAAACUGCGAAUACCGGAGAAUGUUAUCACGGGAGACACACGGCGGGUGCUAACGUCCGUCGUGAAGAGGGAAACAACCCAGACCGCCAGCUAAGGUCCCAAAGUCAUGGUUAAGUGGGAAACGAUGUGGGAAGGCCCAGACAGCCAGGAUGUUGGCUUAGAAGCAGCCAUCAUUUAAAGAAAGCGUAAUAGCUCACUGGUCGAGUCGGCCUGCGCGGAAGAUGUAACGGGGCUAAACCAUGCACCGAAGCUGCGGCAGCGACACUCAGGUGUUGUUGGGUAGGGGAGCGUUCUGUAAGCCUGUGAAGGUGUGCUGUGAGGCAUGCUGGAGGUAUCAGAAGUGCGAAUGCUGACAUAAGUAACGAUAAAGCGGGUGAAAAGCCCGCUCGCCGGAAGACCAAGGGUUCCUGUCCAACGUUAAUCGGGGCAGGGUGAGUCGACCCCUAAGGCGAGGCCGAAAGGCGUAGUCGAUGGGAAACGGGUUAAUAUUCCCGUACUUGGUGUUACUGCGAAGGGGGGACGGAGAAGGCUAUGUUGGCCGGGCGACGGUUGUCCCGGUUUAAGCGUGUAGGUGUGUGUUCCAGGUAAAUCCGGUUCACUUUAACACUGAGGCGUGACGACGAGGCACUACGGUGCUGAAGCAACAAAUGCCCUGCUUCCAGGAAAAGCCUCUAAGCAUCAGGUAACAUCAAAUCGUACCCCAAACCGACACAGGUGGUCAGGUAGAGAAUACCAAGGCGCUUGAGAGAACUCGGGUGAAGGAACUAGGCAAAAUGGUGCCGUAACUUCGGGAGAAGGCACGCUGACAUGUAGGUGAAGUGAUUUACUCAUGGAGCUGAAGUCAGUCGAAGAUACCAGCUGGCUGCAACUGUUUAUUAAAAACACAGCACUGUGCAAACACGAAAGUGGACGUAUACGGUGUGACGCCUGCCCGGUGCCGGAAGGUUAAUUGAUGGGGUCAGCGCAAGCGAAGCUCCUGAUCGAAGCCCCGGUAAACGGCGGCCGUAACUAUAACGGUCCUAAGGUAGCGAAAUUCCUUGUCGGGUAAGUUCCGACCUGCACGAAUGGCGUAAUGAUGGCCAGGCUGUCUCCACCCGAGACUCAGUGAAAUUGAACUCGCUGUGAAGAUGCAGUGUACCCGCGGCAAGACGGAAAGACCCCGUGAACCUUUACUAUAGCUUGACACUGAACAUUGAGCCUUGAUGUGUAGGAUAGGUGGGAGGCUUUGAAGUGUGG
RNAcentral lists this ribosomal RNA (2008 nucleotides) under Salmonella enterica subsp. enterica serovar Muenster. RNAcentral's name for it is "partial 23S ribosomal RNA". It matches the Rfam family "Bacterial large subunit ribosomal RNA", at positions 137 to 2167 of the family's 2925-position model. The record is from RNAcentral. Lineage: Bacteria; Pseudomonadati; Pseudomonadota; Gammaproteobacteria; Enterobacterales; Enterobacteriaceae.